UAGUCCACGCCGUAAACGAUGAUAACUAGCUGUCCGGGCACUUGGUGCUUGGGUGGCGCAGCUAACGCAUUAAGUUAUCCGCCUGGGGAGUACGGCCGCAAGGUUAAAACUCAAAGGAAUUGACGGGGGCCUGCACAAGCGGUGGAGCAUGUGGUUUAAUUCGAAGCAACGCGCAGAACCUUACCAGCGUUUGACAUGGUAGGACGACUGGCAGAGAUGCCUUUCUUCCCUUCGGGGACCUACACAC
RNAcentral lists this ribosomal RNA (247 nucleotides) under uncultured bacterium. Its description in RNAcentral is "partial 16S ribosomal RNA". It matches the Rfam family "Bacterial small subunit ribosomal RNA", at positions 791 to 1035 of the family's 1533-position model. The record is from RNAcentral.